RNAcentral lists this ribosomal RNA (108 nucleotides) under Scopulariopsis brevicaulis (arsenic fungus). Its description in RNAcentral is "partial 28S ribosomal RNA". It matches the Rfam family "Eukaryotic large subunit ribosomal RNA", at positions 1 to 105 of the family's 3401-position model. The record is from RNAcentral. Lineage: Eukaryota; Fungi; Ascomycota; Sordariomycetes; Microascales; Microascaceae.
GUUUGACCUCGGAUCAGGUAGGGUUACCCGCUGAACUUAAGCAUAUCAAUAAGCGGAGGAAAAGAAACCAACAGGGAUUGCCUUAGUAACGGCGAGUGAAGCGGCAAC